CCUACGGGAGGCAGCAGUAGGGAAUAUUGGACAAUGGGUGAGAGCCUGAUCCAGCCAUGCCGCGUGCAGGAAGAAGGCGUUAUGCGUUGUAAACUGCUUUUGCCAGGGGAUAAAACGGUUCUGCGGAACUAAUUGAAGGUACCUGGUGAAUAAGCCACGGCUAACUACGUGCCAGCAGCCGCGGUAAUACGUAGGUGGCAAGCGUUGU
This 208-nucleotide ribosomal RNA is filed under the name uncultured bacterium. RNAcentral's name for it is "partial 16S ribosomal RNA". It matches the Rfam family "Bacterial small subunit ribosomal RNA", at positions 338 to 544 of the family's 1533-position model. The record is from RNAcentral.